Molecule: long non-coding RNA, 691 nt
Organism: Mustela erminea (ermine)
Lineage: Eukaryota; Metazoa; Chordata; Mammalia; Carnivora; Mustelidae
Exons: 3
Source: RefSeq, a predicted model, not a curated record
GGGCUCUCCUCAGAGCCCAUGCGUGGAACAAAGGACAAGGCUGCUCCAGUUUAGAGUCUGAGAAGAUGCUCAGAGAGGUUUAACAACUUACCCUAAGUCACAAGGCCUAGUGAUGGAACCAAGAAUCAAAUAGAGAGCACAAGUAACGGGAAGUGUUUGCUUCAGCAUGUCGGUGAACUUGGGGCACACAAAUAAAAAGAAGCAAAAAAAAAAAAAAAAAAAGCCCAAAACAAAACCACUUUUUUAAAAGGCUCUUGCCCCCACUGGCGUCAGCUCCACCCUGUAAGGAACUAAAGCAGGAGCGGUUUCUAGAGACAAAAGCAGCUCCCUUCUCAUCUCUGAAAAUGGUGCCUUCCCCAAAUUGCUUUUUCAUGUUUCCCUCCUUGGAAUGUGAAAUGACCCGGUCCCAGCACUCUACUGUUAGAGCCCAUGGUGUUAUACACACGGGGUAGCUGUAGCUUUUGGCAGGGCCCUGGGGGAGAUUACAGGAGUUCCAGGAGGGAGAGGAAACUCUAGGGCUGAGGCACUGUGCUUGCCUUUGGCUGAAACAGGCUACUUCAAAAAUGGCUCCAGAAAAAGAAAGCCCAGAGGUGGUGAAGAGAGAGCAAACAAACUUGCAUUUUCUUUUUUAAAAAGUGGAAAUUGUUUACUUCACCUGCAAAGAAGAAGUCUCCCUCAAAAGGAGAAAAAA